AGCUGUGACUGUAAUGCAUUCAUUAGGUAAUCCAUCUAUCUACAUACUCAACUACAGGACAUGCAGCUUCCUGCUGCACGUGGGCAAACUGUGUGGCUAUGUGUCCCGGAGAGGGGAUUCUGUGUGCUCCUCUCUACCUCUUCUCUACAUCUCCUACUUCAAUUAUUCCUACAUUAGUCAUGCUGGUGAAUAUGGUGACUCAAGCACAAAAAGGAAAAUGUGUUCCUCGAACUAAAUUGGAUGAAAUUGUGCAAUUUAGCUUUUUCAAAGGAGAAAGAAUACCUCGUUUAUUUGACUGUUCUUUUGUGAACUCUGCAAGUGUAACUCUUUCUUUGUCGUUUAACACAGUGGGUGACCAGCUAGGCACUGGCUCCUUUGACCACACUGUUUCUCUGUGGGAUGUUCCAUCUGGGAGGCGUGUCCACACACUGAUAGGUCACAGAGGGGAGAUAAGCAGUGUUCAGUUUGACUGGGUCUGCUCCCUUCUCAUCACCGGCUCCAUGGACAAAAGCAGUAGGUAUGUGUUUGUGUACCGGAAUGUGUGCGUGUGUCUCUGCUUCCCCAGGUGUGGGAGGCAACGAGUGGGAAGUGUAUGGCCACACUAGCAGGCCAUGAAGACGAGGUGCUGGAUGUGUGUUUUGACUACACCGGUCAACUCAUAGCCACUGCCUCGGCUGACUGCACAGCGAGAGUGUCCAACGCUGCCAGACUGGAGGGCCACGAGGGAGAGAUACCCAAGCCCCAUGUUCAUUUCUUCACCUCACUAUGUGUGCUUGUCGAUCUCUCUGAAGUCUGUCAGAUCUGUUUUAACGCUCUCAAGCCAGUAGAGUUCUGUCGGCCAGCACUGACAUGAUGGCUCGCCUGUGGGAUGUCCAGUCUGGCGUCUAUCUUCAGGUCCCAGAGGGACACACGGACGAGAUCUUCUCCUCCGCCUUCAACUACGAGGGUGACACCA
Oncorhynchus gorbuscha (pink salmon) is the source of this 955-nucleotide long non-coding RNA. RefSeq lists it as uncharacterized. The record is from RefSeq and is a predicted model, not a curated record. The transcript is spliced from 5 exons. Lineage: Eukaryota; Metazoa; Chordata; Actinopteri; Salmoniformes; Salmonidae.